GCUCAACAGCUAGUCCACCUAACCAAAAGCAAACCCCUAACAUCUAAAUACCCCCUAACACACGCAAUAAGUACCAAACAAAACAUUUUUCCCCUUUAGUAUAGGCGAUAGAAAAAGUACCCCGGAACAACAGAAAAAGUACCGCAAGGGAACGCUGAAAGACACAUGAAACAGGACAAUAGGCCUAAAAAAGCAGAGAUAAAAACUCUCUUUUUUUUUU
Molecule: ribosomal RNA, 220 nt
Filed under: Chaetodon lineolatus (lined butterflyfish)
Lineage: Eukaryota; Metazoa; Chordata; Actinopteri; Chaetodontiformes; Chaetodontidae
Description: partial 16S ribosomal RNA
Source: RNAcentral